CAACGUGCUCCGGGGUCGGUGAAAGUCCGAACCGGCGGUAACAGUCCGCGACCCGCUCGUGCCACGGCAGCGUCAGGCAGCCGGGGGACCAGCGGUUGAGCCGGUGGGACUCCGGCACCGACGGUGAGAGUCCGGAUGGGAGGAUGCGCGU
Molecule: non-coding RNA, 151 nt
Filed under: Actinomyces johnsonii
Lineage: Bacteria; Bacillati; Actinomycetota; Actinomycetes; Actinomycetales; Actinomycetaceae
Description: FMN sequence
Rfam family: FMN riboswitch aptamer (RFN element)
About the family: The RFN element is a highly conserved domain that is found frequently in the 5'-untranslated regions of prokaryotic mRNAs that encode for flavin mononucleotide (FMN) biosynthesis and transport proteins. This element is a metabolite-dependent riboswitch that directly binds FMN in the absence of proteins.
Source: RNAcentral